GAACCUGAAACCGUGUGCUUACAAGUAGUCAGAGCCCGUUAAUGGGUGAUGGCGUGCCUUUUGUAGAAUGAACCGGCGAGUUACGAUUUGAUGCAAGGUUAAGCAGUAAAUGUGGAGCCGUAGCGAAAGCGAGUCUGAAUAGGGCGUUUAGUAUUUGGUCGUAGACCCGAAACCAGGUGAUCUACCCUUGGUCAGGUUGAAGUUCAGGUAACACUGAAUGGAGGACCGAACCGACUUACGUUGAAAAGUGAGCGGAUGAACUGAGGGUAGCGGAGAAAUUCCAAUCGAACCUGGAGAUAGCUGGUUCUCUCCGAAAUAGCUUUAGGGCUAGCCUCAAGUGAUGAUUAUUGGAGGUAGAGCACUGUUUGGACGAGGGGCCCCUCUCGGGUUACCGAAUUCAGACAAACUCCGAAUGCCAAUUAAUUUAACUUGGGAGUCAGAACAUGGGUGAUAAGGUCCGUGUUCGAAAGGGAAACAGCCCAGACCACCAGCUAAGGUCCCAAAAUAUAUGUUAAGUGGAAAAGGAUGUGGCGUUGCCCAGACAACUAGGAUGUUGGCUUAGAAGCAGCCAUCAUUUAAAGAGUGCGUAAUAGCUCACUAGUCGAGUGACACUGCGCCGAAAAUGUACCGGGGCUAAACAUAUUACCGAAGCUGUGGAUUGUCCUUUGGACAAUGGUAGGAGAGCGUUCUAAGGGCGUUGAAGCAUGAUCGUAAGGACAUGUGGAGCGCUUAGAAGUGAGAAUGCCGGUGUGAGUAGCGAAAGACGGGUGAGAAUCCCGUCCACCGAUUGACUAAGGUUUCCAGAGGAAGGCUCGUCCGCUCUGGGUUAGUCGGGUCCUAAGCUGAGGCCGACAGGCGUAGGCGAUGGAUAACAGGUUGAUAUUCCUGUACCACCUAUAAUCGUUUUAAUCGAUGGGGGGACGCAGUAGGAUAGGCGAAGCGUG
Molecule: ribosomal RNA, 944 nt
Filed under: Staphylococcus aureus
Lineage: Bacteria; Bacillati; Bacillota; Bacilli; Caryophanales; Staphylococcaceae
Description: partial 23S ribosomal RNA
Rfam family: Bacterial large subunit ribosomal RNA
Source: RNAcentral